GAGGGUAUAGCUCAGUGGUAGAAUGCUUGCUUAGCAUGCACAAGGUCCUGGGUUCAAUCUCCAGUACCUCCA
This 72-nucleotide transfer RNA is filed under the name Camelus bactrianus (Bactrian camel). It matches the Rfam family "tRNA". Rfam says of the family: Transfer RNA (tRNA) molecules are approximately 80 nucleotides in length. Their secondary structure includes four short double-helical elements and three loops (D, anti-codon, and T loops). Lineage: Eukaryota; Metazoa; Chordata; Mammalia; Artiodactyla; Camelidae. The record is from Rfam by way of RNAcentral. RNAcentral also lists the same sequence under 2 other names.